CAGCCGUCGGGGCUGAAUCCCCGCGAGGGGAACGGGGGACCCAAUCUCUUGGGGUGAAUCCUGCCGCUGGCAGGUAGGGUAGGAUCUCUUUCAACCCGAACCCGUCAGCUAACCCCGUAGGCCACUGAAAGAGGCAUA
Molecule: small RNA, 138 nt
Filed under: Dehalococcoidia bacterium
Lineage: Bacteria; Bacillati; Chloroflexota; Dehalococcoidia
Description: c-di-AMP sequence
Rfam family: c-di-AMP riboswitch aptamer (ydaO/yuaA leader)
About the family: This family represents a conserved RNA structure found upstream of the ydaO and yuaA genes in Bacillus subtilis and related genes in other bacteria.
Source: RNAcentral